RNAcentral lists this ribosomal RNA (446 nucleotides) under uncultured bacterium. RNAcentral's name for it is "partial 16S ribosomal RNA". It matches the Rfam family "Bacterial small subunit ribosomal RNA", at positions 338 to 795 of the family's 1533-position model. The record is from RNAcentral.
CCUACGGGGGGCUGCAGUCGAGAAUCAUUCACAAUGGGGGAAGCCCUGAUGGUGCGACGCCGCGUGGGGGAAUGAAGGUCUUCGGAUUGUAAACCCCUGUCAUGUGGGAGCAAAUUAAAAAGAUAGUACCACAAGAGGAAGAGACGGCUAACUCUGUGCCAGCAGCCGCGGUCAUACAGAGGUCUUAAGCGUUGUUCGGAAUCAUUGGGCGUAAAGCGUGCGUAGGCUGUUUCGUAAGUCGUGUGUGAAAGGCGCGGGCUCAACCCGCGGACGGCACAUGAUACUGGGAGACUAGAGUAAUGGAGGGGGAACCGGAAUGCUCGGUGUAGCAGUGAAAUGCGUAGAUAUCGAGAGGAACACUCGUGGCGAAGGCGGGUUCCUGGACAUUAACUGACGCUGAGGCACGAAGGCCAGGGGAGCGAAAGGGAUUAGAUACCCUGGUAGUC